RNAcentral lists this ribosomal RNA (120 nucleotides) under Microcebus murinus (gray mouse lemur). Lineage: Eukaryota; Metazoa; Chordata; Mammalia; Primates; Cheirogaleidae. The record is from RNAcentral.
GUCUAUGGCAAUACCACCCUGAACAUGCCUGAUCUCGUCUGAUCUCAGAAGUGAAGCAGGGUAGGGCCUGGUUAGUACUUGGAUGGGAGACAUAUUUAUAAAGUCCUUGAAUAGUACACC